UGCUGUAACUACAAGCUCGAGGUGUUUUCCGCAGCGUUUCUGUACCCGAGGAAGAUGCGCAUGUGAGUCCGUUACGAAGUUGUUCGUACGGUCGUCGUCGUCGGAGAGAUCGUAGACGAGGAAGAAGACGAUCCCCUUUGGCGAGGCUCGAGAAAAAAACUUUGAGAGAGACGAGGUAUACACGCGCGUACGACUAUGUCGUGCGCGCGUGUGAUUUUUUUUUUAUGGCAAUUCGACGCUUCGAGAAUAGAGAAAAGAGAGUGUUGGUCAUCCCAUGCCUCUUCGUCGUCUAUCGCUGGACCGCGCAUCCUAACGUCGCGCCGGUCGUCCAGUCCCCGAACACACACACCCACCCGACGGUACGUCUCGCUCGCUUUUUCACUUGCGUGAGUUCCCGUACCGGGAACCGCUGGAAUCGUCGAGAGAAGAGAAACGGCUGUAGGAGAAAAAGAGGACGGACGUUAAAAACCGGACGAUCGUUACACGGAUGUCUUGCGUGAGUCUUAGCUCGAACAUGAUACGACGAACGAAGUUUGGCACUUUGGCGAGAUGCAUAAAACGCUCGUACAUACAUACAUACAUAUAUAUUAGAGUGUUCUCCUUCUAUUCGAAUUUUUUUUCUCUUUGAGGCGAUUUUCGCACAGAGAAAUACACACACACCACCUUCUCUCGCACCGAAUCUUUCCGAGCUUUCGUUUUCUACGAGUCUACGCAAAACACGACACGAACGAAUUUUCGUUUCGCGUCGUGACGUUGAAGCGACCUCAGAGUAGGCGAGAUCACCCGCUGAAUUUAAGCAUAUUACUAAGCGGAGGAAAAGAAACUAACAAGGAUUUCCUUAGUAGCGGCGAGCGAACAGGAAUUAGCCCAGCACUGAAUCCCGCGGUUCCGCCGUUGGGAAAUGUAGUGUUCGGGAGGAUCCGAUUGACCCGAGACGUCGAACCGCGUCCAAGUCCAUCUUGAAUGGGGCCAUGUACCCACAGAGGGUGCCAGGCCCGUAGCGACCGGAACGCGUCCCGGGAGGAUCUCUCCUUAGAGUCGGGUUGCUUGAGAGUGCAGCCCUAAGUUGGUGGUAAACUCCAUCUAAGGCUAAAUACAACCACGAGACCGAUAGCGAACAAGUACCGUGAGGGAAAGUUGAAAAGAACUUUGAAGAGAGAGUUCAAGAGUACGUGAAACCGUUCAGGGGUAAACCUGAGAAACCCAAAAGAUCGAAUGGGGAGAUUCAUCGUCGACGGCGCCGGUUCCCGUUGAUGAGCGAUGCUCCGGGUGGGCCUUCGGGAGCUCACUAGCGAGGGCACGCCAUCCUCGGUGUCGAACGCACCGGUGUCGUAGUCGUGCACUUCUCCCCUAGUAGAACGUCGCGACCCGUUGUGUGUCGGUCUACGGCCCGAGCGGGCGCCUGUCGCGUCGCUUCGGUGCACGCGUCAGACCCUCGGUCGCCCGGCCGACCGCACGACGGUACACUCACGGUAUCGGGCCGCAACCAAUCCAUUCUCGAAUGUGUGUGCGUCUAGACCGCCGCAAGCUUCGCCCUUACUCCGUAGUCUCGGACUUACGUUCCGUGCUCGGGUAUGCGGCAGCUGUUAGCAGUGCGGAUUUCUUGGACUGGCCGAGUCUCGAAUUACCGGUCGGCGACGCUAUUGCUUUGGGUACUCUCAGGACCCGUCUUGAAACACGGACCAAGGAGUCUAACAUGUGCGCGAGUCAUUGGGACAUUUGAAACCUAAAGGCGAAAUGAAAGUGAAAAUCGGCGUUCGCGUCGAUGGAGGGAGGAUGGGCCGCGCAACUAUGCGGCCUCGCACUCCCGGGGCGUCUCGUUCUCAUUGCGAGGAGAGGCGCACCUAGAGCGUACACGUUGGGACCCGAAAGAUGGUGAACUAUGCCUGGUCAGGACGAAGUCAGGGGAAACCCUGAUGGAGGUCCGUAGCGAUUCUGACGUGCAAAUCGAUCGUCGGAACUGGGUAUAGGGGCGAAAGACUAAUCGAACCAUCUAGUAGCUGGUUCCCUCCGAAGUUUCCCUCAGGAUAGCUGGCACUCGACCGUUCUCAUCGAACGCGUGCGAGUCUCAUCUGGUAAAGCGAAUGAUUAGAGGCCUUGGGGCCGAAACGACCUCAACCUAUUCUCAAACUUUAAAUGGGUGAGAUCUCUGGCUUGCUUGGAUCAUGAAGCCACGAGAUAUUGGAUCAGAGUGCCAAGUGGGCCAAUUUUGGUAAGCAGAACUGGCGCUGUGGGAUGAACCAAACGUGGAGUUAAGGCGCCUAAGUCGACGCUUAUGGGAUACCAUGAAAGGCGUUGGUUGCUUAAGACAGCAGGACGGUGGCCAUGGAAGUCGGAAUCCGCUAAGGAGUGUGUAACAACUCACCUGCCGAAGCAACUAGCCCUGAAAAUGGAUGGCGCUGAAGCGUCGCGCCUAUACUCCGCCGUCAGUGGCAAGUGGGAAGGCACGCGAGUCUCGCGAUCUCCUCGCGGGAUCCGGGACCGUCCUUCAUGAAGCUCUGACGAGUAGGAGGGUCGCGGCGGUGUGCGCAGAAGGGUCUGGGCGCGAGCCUGCCUGGAGCCGCCGUCGGUGCAGAUCUUGGUGGUAGUAGCAAAUACUCCAGCGAGGCCCUGGAGGACUGACGUGGAGAAGGGUUUCGUGUGAACAGCCGUUGCACACGAGUCAGUCGAUCCUAAGCCCUAAGAGAAAUCCUAUGCAGAUGAGGUGUCCUAAGAUCAUACACAAAAAUCGCAACAACAAACAAAUAUAUAUAUGAGCGAAAGAUACACACCCAUUGGGCGAAAGGGAAUCCGGUUCCUAUUCCGGAACCCGGCAGCGGAACCGCAUACCAUUCGGGCCCUCGUAAGAGUGUUCGUCGGGGUAACCCAAAAUGACCUGGAGACGCCGUCGGGAGAUCCGGGAAGAGUUUUCUUUUCUGUAUAAGCGUUCGAGUUCCCUGGAAACCUCUAGCAGGGAGAUAGGGUUUGGAACGCGAAGAGCACCGCAGUUGCGGCGGUGUCCGGAUCUUCCCCUCGGACCUUGAAAAUCCAGGAGAGGGCCACGUGGAGGUGUCGCGCCGGUUCGUACCCAUAUCCGCAGCAGGUCUCCAAGGUAAAGAGCCUCUAGUCGAUAGAUUAAUGUAGGUAAGGGAAGUCGGCAAAUUGGAUCCGUAACUUCGGAAUAAGGAUUGGCUCUGAGGAGCGGGGCGUGUCGGGCUUGGUCGGGAAGCGGGUUUGGCUGACGUGCCGGGCCUGGGCGAGCUGAACGGGACGCGGCGUAUCUAUCUCUCUCGGGAGUGGAUAUCGU
Long non-coding RNA from Bombus huntii, 3286 nucleotides. RefSeq lists it as uncharacterized. The transcript has 2 exons. Lineage: Eukaryota; Metazoa; Arthropoda; Insecta; Hymenoptera; Apidae. The record is from RefSeq and is a predicted model, not a curated record.